This 294-nucleotide long non-coding RNA is filed under the name Panax ginseng (ginseng). RNAcentral's name for it is "long non-coding RNA (PGIN_LNC010612)". The record is from RNAcentral. Lineage: Eukaryota; Viridiplantae; Streptophyta; Magnoliopsida; Apiales; Araliaceae.
CUCCCACUCCUCAUCUUCAUCCGCAUAUGGUUCAUCUGGUUGAUAAUGUUUCAACCCUUCGAUGCAAAGCAUCUGUUAUUCUUAGUUUCAGGUAAAUUUACCUUAAAACUCAUUCCUUUGAGAGACUAUAGAACGGCCGGUCGCAGGACACAUCGUCGCCGGGGCCGGAAUUGGAAUUUUCAGCGAGCAUGAGCCAAGGCGAUGAUGAGCAAUUAGAAGGACCUAUAUCAAAUUUAUUGGCUUCAAUCGCAGCAGAUCGCCAUAAUCUACAGACUCCACCAAAAGCAAUGAAAU